AACAGUCUCAGUUCAGAUUGUAGGCUGAAACUCGCCUAUAUGAAGUCGGAAUUGCUAGUAAUCGCGGAUCAGCAUGCCGCGGUGAAUACGUUCCCGGGCCUUGUACACACCGCCCGUCACACCAUGAGAGUCGAUAACACCCGAAGCCUGUAGUCUAACCAUAGUGGGGGACGCAGUCGAAGGGUGGGAUUGAUAAUUAGGGUGAAGUCGUAACAAGGUAAC
Molecule: ribosomal RNA, 222 nt
Filed under: uncultured bacterium
Lineage: Bacteria
Description: partial 16S ribosomal RNA
Rfam family: Bacterial small subunit ribosomal RNA
Source: RNAcentral